Molecule: long non-coding RNA, 1422 nt
Organism: Ooceraea biroi (clonal raider ant)
Lineage: Eukaryota; Metazoa; Arthropoda; Insecta; Hymenoptera; Formicidae
Source: RefSeq, a predicted model, not a curated record
GUCAGGCUGGCCAAGCUGUAAGAUCUGGAAAGAUAGUCGAGACUGACAGGUCGUAUAGUACUGUCUACCGUAAUCUGUCAUUAUUACGCAAAAUCUCGGCGCUCCCGUUCGAACGACGCGACGCUCCUGCUACGCUAUUUUUGUCUACGGAAUUUCCGCGCGGGCAAUAAUCGCCGAAUCGGAUCGCCUCGCAUCAGAUGCCGAAAAUAAUCGCGCGCGCGCGCUCGCACGCACGCACUUUGACAAAUCAAUCGCGACGCGCGUGUGUACGUACAUACGUAUGCAUCCGGACGAGUGCCGCUUCCGCCGCUUUGAUGUCCGUUCGCGGGAUUAAUUAACUCGACGGUGCGAUUAUUAUGUCAGAGCGGGACGCGCGGCGUUUUCUUUCCGCUAGAUUUCUAAUUAAGUCGCCAAUUUCAUGCGAUUACGGCGGAGAUGCGGAGACGCGCGACGGGGUAAUUACGGAUGCACAAAGAAAACGAUGCGGCACAAAGCGGGGUAACGACGGCGCGCAGAAAUGCAAUUUGACGUGUCGAUCUUGUAUGUAAUACAUCUGGCAUACACGUCUCCGUGCGCAACUGUGCGCACGUCCGGCGGCUUAAGACGCGCGCGAGUGUCAUUUCCGUUCGAAUUUUUCCGGUCGGUCUUUGUUGCGGAUUAGCGGUCUUUUCGAAAUGACCGGCCGCAGCGGUACUGCGCGACCGUCGGCGGACCGUCGGCGGAGUAAUACAAGAGCGAGCGGAGAGCGGUGGUGGCGCGGCAGUCUUCUUCUUACCUCGCAAUCUCUGCGAUCUCUGCGCAGCAAAUCGCUUGCGAAAAGCUUUGUGUGGUUCUUUGUGAGACAAGGCGAGUUCGAGUGGACGAUUAACGAGAGACGGGUUCAUCUGAAACGCCCAGCGGUGACGAAAGAGAGAUAAGAGCUUCUGCCACUGAGCGGACACUCGAAUAACCUAGACAGCCUUCGGGUGGACAAGCGCUUGUCGAGUUUUCUAGUCACUAGCCUUCGGGUGAAAGAAUCAAAGCCGACUCGUUACUAACAGAGGUUGCCUUCGGGUGACAGAGUUCUUGUGGACUCUUGCAGCUUCAUCCAUUAUAUGGACGUGUGCUCUCUGGAGCAGCUCACUCACUGAUUUUUUAGUCAGCCGCUUUACGGUGCCUCUAAUAACUGAGGUGGUAACGUUCUUCGAGCGUUCUCUUAACCACUUCUUUCAGGAAUUAUCCCAACAGUUUCUUUACAGGCGUUGAACGAACAAGAUCUUCGAAGAGCGACCUCCCUCAGCGUCAUUCAAGGGGCCGGAGCACGAAAAUCUCGCCCGUACACGACACAUCACAUGAUAUUUGUCAAGCCUGCUGCCUCGAUUAAUUUACUACGGAAUUACUUGUUUCUUUUCUUAAUUUUAGUAAAGUGUGCAAUCAAAUCAA